RNAcentral lists this long non-coding RNA (434 nucleotides) under Elaeis guineensis (African oil palm). Its description in RNAcentral is "long non-coding RNA (EGUI_LNC012906)". The record is from RNAcentral. Lineage: Eukaryota; Viridiplantae; Streptophyta; Magnoliopsida; Arecales; Arecaceae.
AGUUAAGAGCAUAAACCAGAUCACAGAUACCUGUUUGGAUAAAAUUACUCUGAUAGAAAGAACUGGUUGGUUUAUUCAGAGAAUCUUCUGUGGAAACACUGCUUUCAAAAAUAUUUGCAUUAGAUUUGAACUUUUUCAAAAGUUAUAUUUCUUCGACUGAUAAUAUUUCUAUAGAAAAAAAAUGGGCUUGAUUGUACUAACUUCGAUCUCUACUAUAAUGACUACCUUCACGACCACGACCUCUGGUUGGACGACUAUGUAGCUCAUAGCAGUAAGCUUUGAUGUGGCUGAACUUAUGACAAUGAUCACAAAUCUUGAUCCCACGAGGUCGAGACUAAAUCUCUUGAGUAGAAUUGAUAGGAGAAGAGCUUCCAAGAGUAGUUGGUUAUACUACAAGUGUAGAUAAUAUAGCUGUGUUCGUAGAAGAAGACAUA